Molecule: RNA transcript, 2784 nt
Organism: Oncorhynchus gorbuscha (pink salmon)
Lineage: Eukaryota; Metazoa; Chordata; Actinopteri; Salmoniformes; Salmonidae
Gene name: protein Hook homolog 3-like
Exons: 22
Source: RefSeq, a predicted model, not a curated record
AAAAAGGGUGGCAUCUUUUCCCCCCAGCUGGUUGGAAGAGGAUAGACCGGUGGAUGUUGUCUCAACGUGACUGUUUACUGAUAAAAUAACCUUUUAAUAUAUAUUCGACGCUGUAUGUGUUUCUAUACGUGAAAAAGAGACGGUGGGACCGUAUCUAAUCCCGUCGGGAAACCCGAGUAACGUUUUUCGUCGAAAUAAAUCCUCGUUUUGUUUUUAAUCCAGUUGAUCAGACGUGUUUGUUGAUUUCAUCUCGCCGAGACGACUGUCUAUAGUCAUUUUUUAUUUUAUUUAUUCUGAUAAAUAAGAGCGAUCUCUUGUGGAUUAAAUUGAACUACAAAAUACGAUGAGUACCUUGAACUCUGUGGAUCGAGUUGAACUGUGCGACAGCCUUUUAACAUGGAUCCAGACGUUUGGAUUGGAGGCACCAUGCAGGACGGUGGACGAUCUCACAAGUGGGAUCGUCAUGGCCCAGGCCCUACAGAAAAUAGACAUUGUGUAUUUCACUGACAACUGGAUCGGUAGGAUCAAGCCCGAGGUGGGAGAUAACUGGCGGCUAAAGAUCAGUAAUCUAAAGAAGGUGUUGAAAGGUAUACUGGACUACAACCAAGAGGUCCUUCAACAGCAGAUCAAUGACUUCACCCUGCCAGACAUCAACCUGAUAGGAGAACACUCAGACGCUGCAGAGCUGGGCAGGAUGCUGCAACUCAUACUAGGCUGUGCUGUCAACUGUGAGCAGAAACAAGAAUACAUCCAGACCAUAAUGAUGCUGGAGGAAUCUGUUCAACACGUUGUCAUGACAGCCAUUCAAGAGUUGAUGAGCAAAGAGUGCCCUGUAAUGGGAGGAAACGACUCAGACGCUGACAUCGAUAGACAGCUGAAGAAGACGGUGGAGGAUUUGAACGAGGCUCUAGCCACCAAGGAGGAGAUCGCACAGAGAUGUCACGAGCUGGACAUGCAGGCUUUCCAUGUACAGGAGCAGCGAGAUAGACUGAGGUUAGAGUAUAUUGAACUAGAGGAGAGGGUGGCAGCGCUACAGGAGGAGAGGGGUAGUCUCCUGGCUGAGAACCAGAUCCUCAUGGAGCGUCUCAACCAGUCUGACUCCAUAGAAGACCUGAACAGCCCUGUAGGACGAAGACACCUGCAGCUGCAGACACAGCUAGAACAGCUCCAGGAGGAGACCUUCAGGCUGGAGGCAGCGAAGGAUGAUUAUCGUAUCCACUGUGAGGAGUUGGAGAAGGAGCUGACAGAGCUGAGAGGGCAGAAUGAAGAGCUCACCUCCCUGGCUGACGAGGCCCAGACACUGAAGGACGAAAUGGAUGUACUCAGACACUCGUCAGACAAGGUGUCCAAGCUGGAGGUCAUGGUGGAGUCGUAUAAAAAGAAGCUGGAGGACCUGGGAGAUCUGAGGAGACAGGUCAAACUGUUGGAGGAGAAGAACACUCUGUACAUGCAGAACACUGUCAGUCUGGAGGAAGAAGUACGCAAGGCCAACACCACGAGAGGACAGCUGGAGUCCUACAAGAGACAGGUGGUAGAGCUGCAGAACAAGCUGUCUGAGGAGUCCAAAAAGACAGACAAGAUGGAGUUUGAAUACAAGAGACUCAAGGAGAAGGUGGACUCUCUACAGAAAGAAAAGGAUCGGAUGAGGUCAGAGAGAGACUCCCUAAAGGAGACCAUUGAGGAGCUGCGUUUUGUUGAGGCUCAGGAAGGACAACUGUCUACAGGCAUGGUUCCACUGGACAGUAACGAGGGCUCUGAUUCGCUGGCGGCAGAGAUCGUCACCCCAGAGAUCCGAGAGAAGCUGAUCAGACUGCAGCAUGAGAACAACAUGCUGAAGCUGGCCCAGGAGGGUUCUGAUAAUGAGAAGAUCGCUCUGCUGCAGAGUUUACUGGAGGACGCAAACAGUAGGAAGAACGAACUGGAGACAGAAAACAGACUGGUGAACCAGAGACUGAUCGAGGGUCAGAGUCAGGUGGAGGAGCUGCAGAGGAGUCUUCAGGAACAGGGCUCCAAAGCAGACGAUUCAAUCAUUCUGAAGAAGAAAAAUGAUGCUCACAUGGAGAAAUUACGGGAAGUGAACAGUGAACUGCAGAAGAAGUGUGCGCACAUCGAUGACUUGGAGCCCAAGUACACCUCUAGUUCCCAGAAAGUAGAGGAACUGGAAGAGGCGUUAAAGAAGAAGGAUGAAGACAUGAAGCAGAUGGAGGACAGAUAUAAGAAGUACCUGGAGAAGGCGAAGAGUGUUAUCCGGACCCUGGACCCUAAGCAGAACCAGGGCUCGGCACCAGAGGUCCAGACCCUGAAGAACCAGCUGCAGGAGAGGGAAAGGAUGCUGCACUCUCUGGAGAAAGACUACGACAAGACCAAGGCUCAGAGAGACCAGGAGGAGAAACUCAUAGUGUCUGCCUGGUACAACAUGGGCAUGGCUCUCCAGAAGAAGGCAGCAGAGGACCGUCUGGCCAGUACGGGUUCCGGACAGUCCUUCCUGGCCCGCCAGAGACAGGCUACCAGCACACGCCGCUCCUACCCCGGAUACCCGGGACCCCAGUCCGCCACCGCCAGGUAGACAUGGCGCCGUGACUCUUCAACCCGACCUUUGACCUCCGACCCUUCCAGGCCAGGUACCACCACGGCCAGUGACAUUACAUGACCAGCGCAGGCAGGGGUGAUGGGCGGGUGCAUGACCAUGGCUUAAUAAUGAGUCGAGCUGAAAAUAACCCUUCAUCAACACUAACCCUCAACUCUACGGAGGACGGGCCGGGCGGGCGGGCCCAGACUAUGCCC